AAGAAGCAGUGGCAGGCACACCACUACUGCUAGUGUGUACUAGUAUGGAAGUACUUGUGCAGUAACAGAGGAUAAUAUUUAAGUCGUGAGAUCAUUUAUUGAAGUCGCAGUGUAUUUUCAGGUUACUUAAACGUUGGUAUGUUGCAUUGAUGAUCAUCUGCGGUAUGUCCACGUUGGCCUGCUGGUCAGUGAAGGCCACAGGUGGGCCGCUCGUGACCCGCAGUACUCUGCCUCUGAUUGGCUGUAAUCCCAGAAGCAGAGAAUGGCGGGUCAAGCCGUAGUCGUCUUCCUGUGGAGGAAAAAGUAUCGCGGUCCGAUAAAUGGAGUUUGGAACCUGAAGUAGAAGGACGCUGAGCAGCAGGCUGAGGACGCCUUCACGAUCUCUUCAUUUUCAACAGCUACUAAUGGGCCAUGUUGGAGAUUAAUGCUUACAUACAAAAUACGAAACGUCUGCUUCUGCUUCGGCCUGAUUUCUGUGGAUUAGACUUUUCGUGGUGAAGAAUCACUUCAGUUCUUAAGAGAACCUGGUCUGGAUUUUGUGGUUAACAUCAAAGGAAAAAAUGGCACAAAGAGGAAUUUCAGCAGCAUCUGAGGAUGGAUGACAUCCAAGCUUCAGAGAGCAUGCUGGGAGGUUUUCACAAGCUAAACGGCAUGAAGAGCAGAAACUAUCCACAAUGCUACUGUACCUCUCCAGCCAGAGGCGUGGCAGAACAGUAAGUUGCUGUAAAAACCUAAGGAGGGAGGUAAGGUGCAGAGUGCAUCGCCUGAAGAACUGCAGGAUCUGUCGCGGUCAAAAAUAAUUCCCUUUGACAGGACACUGAGACAUGUUUUACUGCAUGCUUUAUGUUUAUUAUUUUUAUUCCAUUAACAUAAAUGUCAGUCACAUGUUUAAUGGAAUUAAAUUCUCUGAGGAGGGUAGAAGACUUGCACUAUCUCUGGGCACUGACACCAUCUUGUGGAGAUUUCUUUAACAGCAAAGCCCAUUGACCGUUCCUUCAAUUUUAACACCUCCAGAGAAAACUGUACAAUGUAUUCUGAAGAUUUAUACA
Molecule: long non-coding RNA, 1049 nt
Organism: Scatophagus argus
Lineage: Eukaryota; Metazoa; Chordata; Actinopteri; Scatophagidae
Exons: 4
Source: RefSeq, a predicted model, not a curated record